This 451-nucleotide ribosomal RNA is filed under the name uncultured organism. RNAcentral describes it as "partial 16S ribosomal RNA". It matches the Rfam family "Bacterial small subunit ribosomal RNA", at positions 333 to 800 of the family's 1533-position model. The record is from RNAcentral.
ACACUCCUACGGGAGGCAGCAGUGGGGAAUAUUGGACAAUGGGCGCAAGCCUGAUCCAGCCAUGCCGCGUGAGUGAUGAAGGCCCUAGGGUUGUAAAGCUCUUUCACCGGUGAAGAUAAUGACGGUAACCGGAGAAGAAGCCCCGGCUAACUUCGUGCCAGCAGCCGCGGUAAUACGAAGGGGGCUAGCGUUGUUCGGAUUUACUGGGCGUAAAGCGCACGUAGGCGGACUAUUAAGUCAGGGGUGAAAUCCCGGGGCUCAACCCCGGAACUGCCUUUGAUACUGGUAGUCUUGAGUGCGAGAGAGGUGAGUGGAAUUCCGAGUGUAGAGGUGAAAUUCGUAGAUAUUCGGAGGAACACCAGUGGCGAAGGCGGCUCACUGGCUCGAUACUGACGCUGAGGUGCGAAAGCGUGGGGAGCAAACAGGAUUAGAAACCCGUGUAGUCCCAUGA